RNAcentral lists this small RNA (412 nucleotides) under Malus domestica (apple). Its description in RNAcentral is "sRNA MD08G0134700". The record is from RNAcentral. Lineage: Eukaryota; Viridiplantae; Streptophyta; Magnoliopsida; Rosales; Rosaceae.
UUGUUAGAAGAUCGGAAGGAUUCGGGCAAUGAGCCUAUUUACGAAAGACGCUCUGCUUAGUUGUGAGACGUAGCGAGAAUAAGGAGAACAUCGAUGGGGAUGAGUGGGCUUGGCAGUGAGGCUUUCAUCCUUUGGAAUUUGGGUGAUGGCUCAUUUACUACAGUUUUAUCUUAGUUGUAACUUGUAAUAAUAUUGGCAUGAUCGUGCUUUUGAUUAUGCAUAGCAUUGCACUGUUGUAUUUACUGUUGUGUGAAACUUGCAGCUGCUCUGAUGUGAUGUGAUAAUAACAGGGCUAAACCCGAGAUAAUUUGUGUUCCCAAGUGGGAAGGAUGAUAAGUACUUUUCUUGUAGCAGCUUUGGAUGUAUAUUUAAUGAACAUUUGGUUCAAAUUCUUACACAUCAUAAAUAUCUU